CACGUCAAAUAUAAUGUGUUUUGACAAGAAUAAUACCAACCAUACUGUAUGUUAAAAAGCAAUAAAUUGAAGUAUUAAACAUAUGAUUCAUAAGGAAAGGUUGUAUCUCCUUUUAUAAUAAUUUAUUAAUUGUGUAAUUUUACAUGCUAUAUGUGGGAAUUGUAAAAUUACAUUUAAUCAUAUAUUCAAUAGAAUCAGAUUUAAUGUAUUUUUUCACAUUACCAUACAUUUUAAGAUUUACAAAAGGUCAGUAAGAUAUGUUAGUUAUUUGUUCUUUUAUUGUGAUCCCUAUAUUUCUAGUGCCAAAGAAUUGUUUUCGGUUAAUUUUACUUCAAUGAUAUGUUCAUUUUAAGGUACUGGUGUAAUUUUUCAAGAAAUUUCUCAAAUUAAAAAAAUUAUAUAAAUAAUGUUUCUUUGAUCUUUGUCGAUCCCUAACUGGGACCAGUUUUUUUCAGUUCAUCCAAAAAUAUUUCAUGUUGCUUAAGUCUAACAUCUUAGGUCUAGAAUAUGUUCAUAAAGUAGCUGGACAAUUAGUUUUAUGACAUUUAUAAAGUCAUUUCUUAGGCUUCUGAUGGAUGUUUAUCUUGUUUGCAUUUAUACUAAUGCUUCUUAUUCUGUAUUGAAAAACAAAUUAUAAUUUACAUAAAAAAAUUGGUAUGG
Molecule: long non-coding RNA, 660 nt
Filed under: Mytilus galloprovincialis (Mediterranean mussel)
Lineage: Eukaryota; Metazoa; Mollusca; Bivalvia; Mytilida; Mytilidae
Source: RNAcentral